Mangifera indica (mango) is the source of this 107-nucleotide small nucleolar RNA. NCBI's taxonomy places the organism in Eukaryota, Viridiplantae, Streptophyta, Magnoliopsida, Sapindales, Anacardiaceae. The record is from RefSeq and is a predicted model, not a curated record.
AAACCAUGAUGAGGACACUGUCUUUGUAAAUCUUUAAACCGCUCCCAAGCUUUAUAUAAAGACUUGUUGUCCCUUUGCUAAAAAGUAGUGAUUUCAUUUCUUACUUU